CUUGGGGUAGAAAAUAGAUACUCACUUUGCCAUUGUCUGUUCAGAACCACAUACACAGUAUGAUGUGAUAGUUACAUGGCAAGAAAAAAAAUGUUGCCCACAAGCUGUUGGGAUUAGUGAGUCACUAUCGAUGCACUAACCAGGUAAUUAAUUCAGAAUAUGCUACGUACAACAUUUCUAACAUUGGAAGAGGUGAUGUCUGAUUGGUCUGUGAGAAACUAUGAUGAAAUUUGCUAAUAAUAGAAUUCCAUUCCUGAAUAUGGAAACAUGACACUUCAUUUUGAAGCUCGGGAUCAUUAUGGUUUUGGUAAAAACAGAUCAUAUAUUGCACCAUAGUGGCAGCAUGCUCGCCCCUUGACUAGUAAAAUUGUCUGACAUUAGACUGUAAAAUAAUACAGUAAUACUACUAAUACAGUAAGACACAUUGCCACUUGAAGGGUUAAUAUAUGUGUAUUUAUUAUAUAGUAGAGAGGGAGAUACUGAAAAACACACAUUGAAAUAUUUUACAUAUCUUCACUAGUGCAUCAAGAUAUCGAUCACAUGACUUUUUCCAAUUUCACAAUUUUUUGCUUGGGACUAUAUAUAAUAAACAGAACAUUACAUGGUGGCUUGAAGAUAUGACUUUUGUCUUCUCGUGUUAAAAACAAUAUUUUACUCACUUGCUGUGCUCGUUCGUAAAAUUUUGUUUUCACCACUCGAAGAUCUUCACGCUGCUGUGUAAUAUCCUCUAUAUACAUGCAUAUGAUAUUUUUCAUUUUCAUGGUGUAUAAAGAUGUAUAUAAAUGUAUCAUGAUAAUAAUGUCAUCUUUUAUUUUGCAGAAAUUAUCUGUUUAAUGCAACACAAGAGAUGGCACAGGCAUCAACAUACAGAACAUCAAAAUGAAGUUAUAAUUAUAAUACCAUAACAACAUAAUAAAUAAUUAUAUGAUUAUAAUAACUUUAUUGAAG
Paramuricea clavata is the source of this 948-nucleotide non-coding RNA. NCBI's taxonomy places the organism in Eukaryota, Metazoa, Cnidaria, Anthozoa, Malacalcyonacea, Plexauridae. The record is from the annotation of a GenBank genome assembly.